AACGUAGGAGACAAACGUUAUCCGGAGUUACUGGGCGUAAAGGGCGUGCAGGCGGUCUGUUAAGUCUGGCGUGAAAGCUCUCGGCUAAACCGGGAGAGGUCGUUGGAUACUGACGGACUAGAGGACGGUGGAGGCGUGUGGAAUUCCGGGUGUAGUGGUGAAAUGCGUAGAGAUCCGGAGGAACACCAGUGGCGAAGGCGACACGCUGGGCCGUACCUGACGCUAAGACGCGACAGCAUGGGGAGCGAACGGG
RNAcentral lists this ribosomal RNA (253 nucleotides) under uncultured bacterium. Its description in RNAcentral is "partial 16S ribosomal RNA". It matches the Rfam family "Bacterial small subunit ribosomal RNA", at positions 524 to 776 of the family's 1533-position model. The record is from RNAcentral.